GUUGUGCUCUUCACAAUCUGACGGCCUAAUAUCAUUUUACAGUGUGUUUCUGAUUUCGCGCACUUUUGGGUCCUUUUUGAUGCUGAUGUGAAGGAGUGGUGUCCUCGUCUGAUCAAUCCAUCUUUUCUCUAAAAUAAACGUGUGUUACUGAUUUCGCGCACUUUUGGGUCCUUUUUGAUGCUGAUGUGAAGGAGUGAUGUCCUGUCUGAUUAAUCCAUCUUUUCUCUAAAAUAACCGUGUGUUACUGAUUUCGCGCACUUUUGGGUCCUUUUCGAUGCUGAUGUGAAGGAGUGGUGUCCCUGUCUGAUCAAUCCAUCUUUUCUCUAAAAUAAACGUGUGUUACUGAUUUCGCGCACUUUUGGGUCCUUUUCGAUGCUGAUGUGAAGGAGUGGUGUCCUGUCUGAUCAAUCCAUCUUUUCUUUAAAAUAACCAAGCAUGUUGCUUCGGGUUCACAUUUCUUCUACCAACAUCAGGAGGGUAGAGCUGCCUAAAAGGCCUGAGUCUGUGGACGAUUUGAAGUCUUUCCUUGGCGAGAAAUUGCAGCUGAAAUCUGGAUUUUCUCUACAAUUUGAAGACCCAGACUUUAACAAUGAACUUUGUAACUUGAAUGACAUCCAAGAAUUGCCAGCAGCAAAGGCAACCUUAAAGAUUCUGUGGGAAGAAGCAUCUCCUGCACUAACCGAUGCAAGUUCAGUGUCCUCACUUGAUACAGCAAGCAUGACAAGUUGUCAAAGUGAUGUCCAAAUCCCUGAAACAUCUGUGUCAAGAAAUCUCAGAAGUGUUGAACAGUGGCCCUCUACUUUUAACAUACCUGCUUUUUCUCUUGAUGUGGAACUCAGGCUGCGUAAAGCCAAUGAGAUAUACCAACAGACA
Non-coding RNA from Pimephales promelas (fathead minnow), 873 nucleotides. NCBI's taxonomy places the organism in Eukaryota, Metazoa, Chordata, Actinopteri, Cypriniformes, Leuciscidae. The record is from RefSeq and is a predicted model, not a curated record.